Long non-coding RNA from Zalophus californianus (California sea lion), 443 nucleotides. RefSeq lists it as uncharacterized. The record is from RefSeq and is a predicted model, not a curated record. The transcript has 3 exons. NCBI's taxonomy places the organism in Eukaryota, Metazoa, Chordata, Mammalia, Carnivora, Otariidae.
UGUGUAUUUUGAAGGGAUGUCCAGCAUGCAGUAUGAAUCUGGGGCUGGACUCCUGACCUCGACUGAUCUGCUCAGCUCCAAUCUAGGGCCUUUGUGGAAGCUCCCUGAAGAGAAACCCUGUUUGUGCUCCUGGAAUUGAGCCAGUAAGAACAGAGGGGCUGUAGCGACCAAAUAGCCCCCUGGACGGAAGAGCCUCUGUGCUGGUACUCACCGUCAGCUGAGGUCUUGAAGCAAGUGAUCCUCCUUUGGGUGUAUCGUCAGGGAGUCGGGAGGCGCCUGCCGCGGAGUCACGGCACCUGCUACAAGUCACAGCACCUGCGCCAUUCCUCUCCCUUCCCUCGUCUCAUCCCUGAGGCAUCUGAUCAUGUCUGGCAUCACGAGAAGGGCGCGUACAGUCCAAGAAGAUCUUUGGGAGAAGGAGCAACCGCAUUCACAUAACUUUA